Molecule: ribosomal RNA, 267 nt
Filed under: uncultured bacterium
Lineage: Bacteria
Description: partial 16S ribosomal RNA
Rfam family: Bacterial small subunit ribosomal RNA
Source: RNAcentral
UUUUUCCUACGGGGGGCAGCAGUAGGGAAUUUUCGUCAAUGGGCGCAAGCCUGAACGAGCAAUGCCGCGUGAACGAGGAAGGUUUUCGGAUCGUAAAGUUCUGUUGAAGGGGAAAAAGAGCGGAGAGAGGAAAUGGUCUCCGAUUGAUAUUACCCUCCGAGGAAGUCACGGCUAACUACGUGCCAGCAGCCGCGGUAAUACGUAGGUGGCGAGCGUUAUCCGGAUUGAUUGGGCGUAAAGGGUGCGUAGGCAGCCUGCUAAGUCUGG